This 698-nucleotide ribosomal RNA is filed under the name uncultured bacterium. Its description in RNAcentral is "bacterial SSU rRNA". It matches the Rfam family "Bacterial small subunit ribosomal RNA", at positions 62 to 772 of the family's 1533-position model. The record is from RNAcentral.
UUAUUUGAUUUUCUUCGGAACUGAAGAUUUGGUGAUUGAGUGGCGGACGGGUGAGUAACGCGUGGGUAACCUGCCCUGUACAGGGGGAUAACAGCCAGAAAUGACUGCUAAUACCGCAUAAGACCACAGCACCGCAUGGUGCAGGGGUAAAAACUCCGGUGGUACAGGAUGGACCCGCGUCUGAUUAGCUGGUUGGUGAGGUAGCGGCUCACCAAGGCGACGAUCAGUAGCCGGCUUGAGAGAGUGAACGGCCACAUUGGGACUGAGACACGGCCCAAACUCCUACGGGAGGCAGCAGUGGGGAAUAUUGCACAAUGGGGGAAACCCUGAUGCAGCGACGCCGCGUGAGUGAAGAAGUAUCUCGGUAUGUAAAGCUCUAUCAGCAGGGAAGAAAAUGACGGUACCUGACUAAGAAGCCCCGGCUAACUACGUGCCAGCAGCCGCGGUAAUACGUAGGGGGCAAGCGUUAUCCGGAAUUACUGGGUGUAAAGGGUGCGUAGGUGGUAUGGCAAGUCAGAAGUGAAAACCCAGGGCUUAACUCUGGGACUGCUUUUGAAACUGUCAGACUGGAGUGCAGGAGAGGUAAGCGGAAUUCCUAGUGUAGCGGUGAAAUGCGUAGAUAUUAGGAGGAACAUCAGUGGCGAAGGCGGCUUACUGGACUGAAACUGACACUGAGGCACGAAAGCGUGGGGAGCAAA